RNAcentral lists this ribosomal RNA (253 nucleotides) under uncultured bacterium. RNAcentral describes it as "partial 16S ribosomal RNA". It matches the Rfam family "Bacterial small subunit ribosomal RNA", at positions 524 to 776 of the family's 1533-position model. The record is from RNAcentral.
UACAGAGGGUGCAAGCGUUAAUCGGAAUUACUGGGCGUAAAGGGUGCGUAGGUGGUUUAAUAAGUUGGGUGUGAAAUUCCUGGGCUCAACCUAGGAACUGCGCUCAAUACUGUUGAGCUAGAGUACUGUAGAGGAAAGUGGAAUUUCCAGUGUAGCGGUGAAAUGCGUAGAUAUUGGAAGGAACAUCAGUGGCGAAGGCGACUUUCUGGACAGAUACUGACACUGAGGCACGAAAGCGUGGGGAGCAAACAGG